This 690-nucleotide ribosomal RNA is filed under the name uncultured bacterium. RNAcentral describes it as "bacterial SSU rRNA". It matches the Rfam family "Bacterial small subunit ribosomal RNA", at positions 1 to 710 of the family's 1533-position model. The record is from RNAcentral.
CCCUUAGAGUUUGAUCCUGGCUCAGGACGAACGCUGGCGGCGUGCUUAAUACAUGCAAGUCUAAGGGUUUAUCUUCCUUCGGGAAGAUAGACACUGGCGCACGGGUGAGUAACACGUAGGUCAUCUGCCCUUGGGUCUGGCAUAACUCCGGGAAACCGGGGCUAAUUCCAGAUGAUACCGAAAGGUCAAAGUUUCGACGCCCAAGGAUGAGCUUGCGUCUGAUUAGCUAGUUGGCGGGGUAAUGGCCCACCAAGGCGACGAUCAGUAGCCGGUCUGAGAGGAUGAUCGGCCACAUUGGGACUGAGACACGGCCCAGACUCCUACGGGAGGCAGCAGUAAGGAAUAUUGCGCAAUGGACGAAAGUCUGACGCAGCAACGCCGCGUGCAGGAUGACGGCCCUUUGGGUUGUAAACUGCUGUAGCAGGGGAAUAAGAGCCCACUCGGUGGGUGUGAAGGUACCCUGAAAGUAAGCUCCGGCUAACUACGUGCCAGCAGCCGCGGUAAUACGUAGGGAGCAAGCGUUGUCCGGAUUCACUGGGUGUAAAGGGUGCGCAGGCGGGUUGGCAAGUCAGAGGUGAAAUCUCACAGCUUAACUGUGAAACUGCCUUUGAUACUUCCAAUCUUGAGUUAAAGAGAGGUUGAUGGAAUUUCAGUGUAGCGGUGAAAUGCGUAGAUAUCUGAAAGAACACC